CCUACGGGCGGCAGCAGUGAGGAAUAUUGGUCAAUGGACGAGAGUCUGAACCAGCCAAGUAGCGUGAAGGAUGACUGCCCUCUGGGUUGUAAACUUCUUUUAUAUGGGAAUAAAAUGUUCCACGUGUGGGAUUUUGUAUGUACCAUCUGAAUAAGGAUCGCCUAACUACGUGCCAGCAGCCGCGGUAAUACGGAGGAUCCGAGCGUUAUACGGAUUUUUGGGGUUGAAAGGGAGCGUAUGUGGAUUGUCAAGUAAGUUGUGAAAGUUUGCGGCUCAAACGUAAAAUUGCAAUUAAAACUGGCAGUCUUGAGUACAGUAGAGGUGGGCGGAAUUCGUGGUGUAGCGGUGAAAUGCUUAGAUAUCACGAAGAACUCCGAUGGCGAAGGCAGUUCACUGGACUGCAACUGACACUGAGGCUCGAAAGUGUGGGUAUCAAACAGGAUUAGAUACCCCGGUAGUC
Molecule: ribosomal RNA, 460 nt
Filed under: uncultured bacterium
Lineage: Bacteria
Description: partial 16S ribosomal RNA
Rfam family: Bacterial small subunit ribosomal RNA
Source: RNAcentral